This 550-nucleotide small RNA is filed under the name Pan troglodytes (chimpanzee). Its description in RNAcentral is "processed transcript". The record is from RNAcentral. Lineage: Eukaryota; Metazoa; Chordata; Mammalia; Primates; Hominidae.
AGCGACUUUAGCUCCGAUGCGGGAAGGAAAGCCGACCUCCGAUUUGGACAUUUAAAGAGCUGGGCUUGGACUUCGUGAGUUUCGCUCUAAACUGCCCUUGAAAUGAAGCUGGACUUGGAGGUGGCUGAUCAGGACAGUAUGAAAUUUCAUACAGUUUCCUAACUUGAGAAAACAUGGUGAUGCAAUUCCUCCAACCAGGAGGGAUUUAUGGACAGCGGUGGCUACGUCCUAAUCUGCCCAGAAUACAGGAUGACUAAACAAAUUGGCAAACGGACGCAGCUUUCUCUCUCUCUAAGAAAAGUCUGCUGAGAACCCUCGUUCCCACUCUGUUUCUGCCUCCAAGAAGAAAAGCCUAAAACUCACUUUCUUCCGGACUCUUUCAAGGAAGCUGAUUAAAAGAAGCUCCUAAACCAGAGGUGCAGACAAGGUGAUGAUGUGGCUCUCAGAGGAAGGUGUGCUACCUACAACCCUGCUGGCUUCAUGGAAGAAUAUGCUUCUCAAAUGCAAAUCCAAUCAAGUUAUCCCCCUGCUUAAAUCCAAACUCGCUCAU